CUCAUUAUAAUUAUUCAAACACUAUUUUAUAGAAAUAGUGAGGACUGCUAAAACAUCUUCCUAGAACCAUCACUCCAUACCCCGACUCGAUCCUGCUAUGUUCUCACCUCCUGAGAAGAAAACUGGAACAAAAAGGAAAAGGUGAGCUCAACUAGCCUAGUAAAGAAUAUUAUGACUAAGAUAAUAUACAACAAAUUAUCGUCAGUCUUCAACAGGGAAAAAUCUGAUAAAAUAUAAUAGACAACAAGUUUUAGAUCAACAAAUGCAGCGGAAACAACAAUCCAUUAGAAGAGUCACGUAGAGAAUGAAUUCUACUAUCUUCUAAGAUUUAAAAGUCCAUCAUCAAUAUUUUAUCCCUGUAACAACAAUCAAUAUUCAUCUUUGAACUACAGGCCAAAGAUAUUCAUUUAAAUCACCAGUUGGUCAUGUUCAUCUCAACACCUGUUCAUCUUUGCACUACAGGCCAAAGAUAUUCAUCAGUUAAUCAUUCAUCUUUGCACUACAGGCCAAAGAUAGUCAGUAGUAUCAUCAUUUAGGACUGAGGAUGAUGAAAAAUAUUUUUUUUAAAGAAACGAAUCCAGUGAAACAAAAUGACAAGGAUUAAGGAUUAAGAAUUCGUACUUUAGUUUGUCCAAAUUCAAAAAUACUCCAUAAUAAACAAUUCUGAGCCAAACUUCAAGAAUGAAGAUCAAAACAUGGAUACAAUCAAAGCUAGUAACCAUAAUAGACAUUUUGGACAAAAAGGAGAAUUUUCAUUUUUCGGUGAAUAGUGCCGUAUUCGUGAAUAGUGUCGUAUACGUGAAUAGUGUCGUAUACGUGAAUAGUAACCUCGGUACAACACGUUCCAAAUUUGAUAAAAAGUUCAACCAAUAUUUUGGCAUAAUGAUAUUGAAGAAAAUAAUACCAUUUGCGAAAGAAAUAACAUCCCUUACCUCAAAAUAACCGUACUUCUGACUGAAUUUUGGUAUAGUGCUGACAGAAACUCGCACCGUAUAGCAACACUCAAAGUAUACUCACAAGAAUACGCUUGAUAAUAUAGAGAGAGAAAGAGAGAAAACUUG
Molecule: long non-coding RNA, 1061 nt
Filed under: Panax ginseng (ginseng)
Lineage: Eukaryota; Viridiplantae; Streptophyta; Magnoliopsida; Apiales; Araliaceae
Description: long non-coding RNA (PGIN_LNC005161)
Source: RNAcentral